AAUUUUCCGCAAUGGGUCAAGCAAGACGGAGCAAUCCCGAGGGAGGGAAGAUUGCUUGUGGGUUGUAAACUUAUUUUCUUAGGGAAGAUUUUAGCCGUUAGUAAGAAGUAAGCAUCGACUAAGUCCGGCUAACAGCGGGGGUGAUACGGCGGUAGCAAGCGUGUCCGAUUUACUGGCUUAAAGGGUCUGUAAGCGGGUUAAUAAGUCUGGGGAUAUUUAUUGAAAUUAACUGGAAAUCAGCAGUAAAACUUUAAUCUAGAGUAUGGUAUGGACAAAGGGAAUUGCCAGUGUAGCGGUGAUAUGGGUAGAUGUGGGAAGUAUACCGGAACGGAAAGGGCUUGGGUGGCCCUAGGUGCACUCAGACACGAAGGGUAGAUGGCGAAAGGAAUUAGAUACCCCUGUCUCUUAGCUCCA
Molecule: ribosomal RNA, 414 nt
Filed under: uncultured marine bacterium
Lineage: Bacteria
Description: bacterial SSU rRNA
Rfam family: Bacterial small subunit ribosomal RNA
Source: RNAcentral